Molecule: ribosomal RNA, 1119 nt
Filed under: human metagenome
Description: bacterial LSU rRNA
Rfam family: Bacterial large subunit ribosomal RNA
Source: RNAcentral
AAUCGAACCCGGAGAUAGCUGGUUCUCCUCGAAAUAGCUUUAGGGCUAGCCUCAUUUUAGUCUUAUGGAGGUAGAGCACUGAAUUUCCGCGGGGGCGUCAAAGCUUACCAAAGAAUAUCAAACUCCGAAUGCCAUGUAGAUGAUGAAUGGGAGUCAGACUGCACGAGAUAAGUUGGGUGGUCAAAAGGGAAAGAGCCCAGACCUACAGCUAAGGUCCCAAAGUGCGUGUUAAGUGGAAAAGGAUGUGGGAUUUCAAAGACAACCAGGAUGUUGGCUCAGAAGCAGCCAUACAUUCAAAGAGUGCGUAACAGCUCACUGGUCGAGAGGUCCUGCGCCGAAAAUGUCCGGGGCUGAAACACGACACCGAAGCUUAGGAAUCACAUAGUGAUUGGUAGAGGAGCAUUCUUAAAACCGACGAAGCUGUACCGGAAGGAGCAGUGGAGGGAUAAGAAGAGAGAAUGCCGGAAUGAGUAGCGAGAGGAAGGUGGGAAUCCUUCCGGCCGAAUAUCUAAGGUUUCCAGAGUAAAGCUGAUCUGCUCUGGGUAAGUCGGGGCCUAAGGAGAGGUCGAAAGACGUAUCCGAUGGACAACAGGUUUAGAUUCCUGUACCACAUAUAAACAGAACUGUGGGGACGCAUGUGGAAAGCAUAAGCCGGGAAUGGAAAUACCGGUACAAACGGAAGAGGUGUCAGGCUGGCAAAUCCGCCUGGCAAGCCAAAGACGUGAUGUGGAGCGAAAUAAAAGUAGCGAAGUAUGUGAGCCAUGUGCCGAGAAAAGCCGCUAUUGUUUUAUAUGUGCCCGUACCGUAAACCGACACAGGUGGAUGAGGAGAGAAUCCUAAGGCCGACGGAAGAAGCAUUGUUAAGGAACUCGGCAAAAUGACCCCGUAACUUCGGGAGAAGGGGUGCCCACUUCAGGGUGGGCCGCAGAGAAUAGGCUCAAGCAACUGUUUAGCAAAAACACAGGUCUAUGCGAAACCGUAAGGUGAAGUAUAUGGGCUGACGCCUGCCCGGUGCUGGAAGGUUAAGAGGAGAGGUUAGCGCAAGCGAAGCUUUGAAUUUAAGCCCCAGUAAACGGCGGCCGUAACUAUAACGGUCCUAAGGUAGCGAAAUUCCUUGUC